RNAcentral lists this ribosomal RNA (803 nucleotides) under uncultured organism. RNAcentral describes it as "bacterial SSU rRNA". It matches the Rfam family "Bacterial small subunit ribosomal RNA", at positions 550 to 1342 of the family's 1533-position model. The record is from RNAcentral.
UUCAUUGGGCGUAAAGGGUGCGUAGGCGGCGCGGAAAGUCCGGCGUGAAAGGCAGAGGCUCAACCUCUGGACUGCGUUGGAUACUUCCGUGCUUGAGGACUGGAGGGGAGACUGGAAUUCACGGUGUAGCAGUGAAAUGCGUAGAUAUCGUGAGGAAGACCGGCGGCGAAGGCGAGUCUCUGGACAGAUCCUGACGCUGAGGCACGAAGGCUGGGGGAGCGAACAGGAUUAGAUACCCUGGUAGUCCCAGCAGUAAACGAUGUGAGCUUGAUGUGGGGGGAUUCGACCCCUUCCGUGUCGAAGCUAACGCGAUAAGCUCACCGCCUGAGGAGUACGGCCGCAAGGCUAAAACUCAAAGAAAUUGACGGGGACCCGCACAAGCGGUGGAGUAUGUGGCUUAAUUCGAUGCAACGCGAAGAACCUUACCUGGCCUUGACAUGCAUUGUGUCGUCGGUGAAAGCCGGCUAGUCCUGGAAACAGGACGCUUUGCACAGGUGCUGCAUGGCUGUCGUCAGCUCGUGUCGUGAGAUGUUGGGUUAAGUCCCGCAACGAGCGCAACCCUUGUGGUCAGUUACUAACCGGCUUAGCCGGAGGACUCUGGCCAGACUGCCCUGUCAAACGGGGAGGAAGGUGGGGACGACGUCAAGUCAGUAUGGCCCUUAUGGCCAGGGCUGCACACGUACUACAAUGCCCGGUACAAUGUGAACCGAAACCGCGAGGUGGAGGAAAUCGCUCUUGAAAACCGGGCCCAGUUCGGAUUGGAGUCUGCAACUCGACUCCAUGAAGUCGGAAUCGCUAGUAAU